CAGGGCAUGGGAAUUCUACUGGAAUGUGUUUUCCUUGAAAGGCAACGCCCUAGGAUGAGUUGGCGGCGGAUUAGCUUGUUGGUGGGGUAAUGGCCCACCAAGGCAUGGAUCCGUAGGGGCCUUGGAAGAGGUAGCCCCGAGAAGGGAACCGAGAUACUGUCCCUAGCCCCACGGGGUGCAGCAGGCGCGAAAACUUUACACUACACGAAAGUGUGAUAAGGGGAUUCCAAGUGCCUAUACACAUGUAUAGGCUUUUUUCGAGAGUAAAAUUCUCGGAGAAUAAGUGGUGGGAAAGACCGGUGCCAGCAGCCGCGGUAAUACCGGCGCCACUAGUAGGGAUCAUGGUUAUUGGGCCUAAAGCGUUCGUAGCAGGCCCUGUAAAUCUCUUGUGAAAUCGUUGGGCUCAACCUAACGGCGUGCAGGAGACACUGCAGGGCUCGGGACCGGGAGGGGUAAGAGGUAUUCCUUGGGGAGCGGUAAAAUGCUAUAAUCCUUGGAAGACCACCUGUGGCGAAGGCGUCUUACCAGAACGGGUCUGACUGUGAGGGACGAAAGCCAGGGGAGCAAUCCGGAUUAGAUACCCGAGUAGUCCUGGCUGUAAACGCUGCGAGCAAGGUGUUGCAUAUUCUAACAUGAAUAUGCAGUGUCGAAACGAAGGUGUUAAGCUCGCCGCC
Molecule: ribosomal RNA, 674 nt
Filed under: uncultured archaeon
Lineage: Archaea
Description: bacterial SSU rRNA
Rfam family: Archaeal small subunit ribosomal RNA
Source: RNAcentral